GACGAACGCUGGCGGCGUGCUUAACACAUGCAAGUCGAGCGGUAAGGCCUUUCGGGGUACACGAGCGGCGAACGGGUGAGUAACACGUGGGCGACCUGCCCUCAGCUCUGGGAUAAGCCUGGGAAACUGGGUCUAAUACCGGAUAUGACCACAUGUCGCAUGGUGUGUGGUGGAAAGUUUUUUCGGCUGGGGAUGGGCCCGCGGCCUAUCAGCUUGUUGGUGGGGUGAUGGCCUACCAAGGCGA
RNAcentral lists this ribosomal RNA (244 nucleotides) under uncultured Actinomycetes bacterium. RNAcentral describes it as "uncultured actinobacterium partial 16S ribosomal RNA". It matches the Rfam family "Bacterial small subunit ribosomal RNA", at positions 28 to 276 of the family's 1533-position model. Lineage: Bacteria; Bacillati; Actinomycetota; Actinomycetes. The record is from RNAcentral.